AACGAACGCUGGCGGCAGGCCUAACACAUGCAAGUCGAACGCCCUAGCAAUAGGGAGUGGCAGACGGGUGAGUAACACGUGGGAACCUUCCCUAUAGUACGGAAUAUACCAGGGAAACUUGGAGCAAUACCGUAUACGCCCGAGAGGGGAAAGAUUUAUCGCUAUAGGAUGGGCCCGCGUAGGAUUAGCUAGUUGGUGAGGUAAUGGCUCACCAAGGCGACGAUCCUUAGCUGGUUUGAGAGAACGACCAGCCACACUGGGACUGAGACACGGCCCAGACUCCUACGGGAAGCAGCAGUGGGAAUAUUGGACAAUGGGCGCAAGCCUGAUCCAGCCAUGCCGCGUGAGUGAUGAAGGCCUUAGGGUUGUAAAGCUCUUUUG
This 381-nucleotide ribosomal RNA is filed under the name uncultured bacterium. Its description in RNAcentral is "bacterial SSU rRNA". It matches the Rfam family "Bacterial small subunit ribosomal RNA", at positions 29 to 438 of the family's 1533-position model. The record is from RNAcentral.